This 468-nucleotide ribosomal RNA is filed under the name uncultured bacterium. Its description in RNAcentral is "partial 16S ribosomal RNA". It matches the Rfam family "Bacterial small subunit ribosomal RNA", at positions 28 to 507 of the family's 1533-position model. The record is from RNAcentral.
GACGAACGCUGGCGGCGUGCUUAACACAUGCAAGUCGAACGGAAAGGCCCUGCUUUUGUGGGGUGCUCGAGUGGCGAACGGGUGAGUAACACGUGAGUAACCUGCCCUUGACUUUGGGAUAACUUCAGGAAACUGGGGCUAAUACCGGAUAGGAGCUCCUGCUGCAUGGUGGGGGUUGGAAAGUUUCGGCGGUUGGGGAUGGACUCGCGGCUUAUCAGCUUGUUGGUGGGGUAGUGGCUUACCAAGGCUUUGACGGGUAGCCGGCCUGAGAGGGUGACCGGCCACAAUGGGACUGAGAUACGGCCCCGACUCCUACGGGAGGCAAAAGGGGGGAAUAUUACACAAUGGGCGGAAGACUGAUGAAACAACGCCGCGUGCGGGAUGGCGGCCUUCGGGUUGGAAAACCCUUUUCGCUGUGACGAAGAGUGAGUGACGGUAAUUGGUAAAGAAGCACCGGCUAACUACGUG